RNAcentral lists this ribosomal RNA (597 nucleotides) under uncultured Lactobacillus sp. Its description in RNAcentral is "bacterial SSU rRNA". It matches the Rfam family "Bacterial small subunit ribosomal RNA", at positions 28 to 596 of the family's 1533-position model. The record is from RNAcentral. Lineage: Bacteria; Bacillati; Bacillota; Bacilli; Lactobacillales; Lactobacillaceae.
GACGAACGCUGGCGGCGUGCCUAAUACAUGCAAGUCGAGCGAGCUGAUUCAAGAUCCCUUCGGGGUGAUUUGUUGGACGCGAGCGGCGGAUGGGUGAGUAACACGUGGGCAACCAGCCAUAAAGACUGGGAUACCACUUGGAAACAGGUGCUAAUACCGGAUAACAACAGAAGCUGCAUGGCUUUUGUUUGAAAGGCGGCUUUAAGCUGUCACUUUAGGAUGGGCCCGCGGUGCAUUAGCUAGUUGGUGAGGUAACGGCUCACCAAGGCAAUGAUGCAUAGCCGAGUUGAGAGACUGAUCGGCCACAUUGGGACUGAGACACGGCCCAAACUCCUACGGGAGGCAGCAGUAGGGAAUCUUCCACAAUGGACGCAAGUCUGAUGGAGCAACGCCGCGUGAGUGAAGAAGGUUUUCGGAUCGUAAAGCUCUGUUGUUGGUGAAGAAGGACGGCAGUAGUAACUGGCUGUCGUUUGACGGUAAUCAACCAGAAAGUCACGGCUAACUACGUGCCAGCAGCCGCGGUAAUACGUAGGUGGCAAGCGUUGUCCGGAUUUAUUGGCGUAAAGCGAGCGCAGGCGGAAAGAUAAGUCUGAAGUG